UACGAAGGGGGCUAGCGUUGUUCGGAAUCACUGGGCGUAAAGCGCACGCAGGCGGAUUGAUAAGUCAGGGGUGAAAUCCCGGAGCUCAACUUCGGAAUUGCCUUUGAUACUGUCUAUCUUCGAGUUCGGGAGAGGUUGGCGGAAUUCCUAGUGUAGAGGUGAAAUUCGUAGAUAUUAGGAAGAACACCAGUGGCGAAGGCGGCCAACUGGCCCGAUACUGACGCUUAUGUGCGAAAGCGUGGGGAGCAAACAGG
This 254-nucleotide ribosomal RNA is filed under the name uncultured bacterium. RNAcentral describes it as "partial 16S ribosomal RNA". It matches the Rfam family "Bacterial small subunit ribosomal RNA", at positions 524 to 776 of the family's 1533-position model. The record is from RNAcentral.